AAACCAACUCAGCAUCUGUUUGCUGAAGGCAUCAUUCCUGCACUGUAUUAUAACAAAGUACAAUUUACUGGUGAAAGUAGAACACCAUUGGUUUUAAGUGUAGGUAUGUGUAAGAAAUCUCUAUUUUAACUAUGGUUCGUUUGAUAGGUUGUAAAUUUUUACAAUAAUAGCUUUUUGCUUGAAAAAGAUGCCCAAAAUUAUGUGCAC
Paramuricea clavata is the source of this 207-nucleotide non-coding RNA. Lineage: Eukaryota; Metazoa; Cnidaria; Anthozoa; Malacalcyonacea; Plexauridae. The record is from the annotation of a GenBank genome assembly.